This is a long non-coding RNA of Ipomoea nil (Japanese morning glory), 127 nucleotides long. RefSeq lists it as uncharacterized. The transcript has 3 exons. NCBI's taxonomy places the organism in Eukaryota, Viridiplantae, Streptophyta, Magnoliopsida, Solanales, Convolvulaceae. The record is from RefSeq and is a predicted model, not a curated record.
GUUUUUCCUGUGCUGAGGUCCAUGCAUCUGAUAAGACGAAUCAAGAACUGGACUCGAUUUCGGAUGCAUUUCUACUCCAUUACAUACUUGGUUUGCUCCAACAGAUGGGGGAACCACAGAAUUUUCG